Molecule: ribosomal RNA, 502 nt
Filed under: uncultured bacterium
Lineage: Bacteria
Description: partial 16S ribosomal RNA
Rfam family: Bacterial small subunit ribosomal RNA
Source: RNAcentral
GACGAACGCUGGCGGCGUGCUUAACACAUGCAAGUCGAACGGUGAAGGGGUCUGCUUUUGUGGGCCCUGGAUGAGUGGCGAACGGGUGAGUAACACGUGAGUAACCUGCCCCCUUCUUCUGGAUAACCGCAUGAAAGUGUGGCUAAUACGGGAUAUUCUGGGUCUGUCGCAUGAUGGGUCUGGGAAAGAUUGCGCCUUUGGGUGUUUUUGGUGGGGGAUGGGCUCGCGGCCUAUCAGCUUGUUGGUGGGGUGAUGGCCUACCAAGGCGGUGACGGGUAGCCGGGCGGAGAGGGUGGACGGUCACACUGGGACUGAGGCCCGGCCCAGACUCCUACGGGAGGCAGCAGUGGGGAAUAUUGCACAAUGGGCGCAAGCCUGAUGCAGCGACGCCGCGUGAGGGAGGGAGGCCUUCGGGUUGUAAACCUCUUUCGCCAGUGAAGCAGGCCUGCUCCUUGUGGGUGGGUUGACGGUAGCUGGAGAAGAAGCGCCGGCUAACUACGUG